Long non-coding RNA from Ctenopharyngodon idella (grass carp), 3203 nucleotides. RefSeq lists it as uncharacterized. The transcript has 3 exons. NCBI's taxonomy places the organism in Eukaryota, Metazoa, Chordata, Actinopteri, Cypriniformes, Xenocyprididae. The record is from RefSeq and is a predicted model, not a curated record.
GUUGUCACGGUGUGAAAGGAAGAGGCUGACCGUGCUUCCUGCAGCAGCCCAACAAAGGAAAUGAGGUCACAGCCUCAGCCUGGUUACAGAUGGAAGCUUCUAGAUCUGCCAAAGCUUCUCUCCAGCACAGAGCCAACCACUGAACAAGGAUAGAGAGAGAAGACAAGGAACUAGAUUUGUACGUUUUUAAGAAACCCCCCAGGGUCGGCCUCUCUACUCAAGAGUGCACACAGGCACUUUAACCUACUAUCUACACCGCAUACGUGCACAGUCUCAGUGAGGUGAAGACAACAGACGUGAGAGAACGACACUUCAUGGGCAGCCACAUCCUGAGGAAGAGAAGGCAACAUGCUCAGCGCAGGCCAUGAGAAUGUCAGCCACUGGAAAGAGCUGGUCUCACACACACACACACACACACACACACACACACACACACACACACACACACACACACACACACACACACAAACCAGACACAUCAUGAGAGCAAAGGAAAGAGGUGAGGUGCAGAAGAAAGGGAGUGAUAAAAUGAAAAGGUAGCAAACAGAGAGGCAUGCUUCAAAGACCAGAGCGGAAGGGUGCAGAUCGCUGCAGGGCAGACACAUUAUAGCCACCGUGACCAACCUCUCUGUCUGUGUGUGUGUGUGUGUGUGUGUGUGUGUGUGUGUGUGUGUGUGUGUGUUGUGAAAGAGGUAAAAUAACAUACAGUGACAAUGAUACAUUAUACUACACCAAUAUAGAAUUGUUCAAACCAUUGGUACAUUUGCUCAAAGGCUCAAUUAGCCUGCUUGCUCUCAUUAUGACUGAAGCCAUUUGUCUGAUAAGGGGGUGGAAACUUGAGCAAACAAUGUUCCCUUCACAAUCGGGUCAUACAGCACCACUGAAAAACUAUAUGCUAUGAAAUACAGCUAUAGCAUCAGGUGUAUCGGUGAUCGCUCUGGGAAUAGUGAACAUUGUGUUAACAACUGGUUAUUGUAUUAACAGUCCACCUGAAGGCCUAGAAAGAAACAAAAAUGAGAUAAAAAUGGUUUUAGCGAGUAUUGAGUGUAGUAAUGUUGUCUAAACUUAAAGGGAUAGUUCACCCAAAAAUGAAAAUUUUGUCAUCAUUUACUCAUCCUCCAGUUGAUUCAAACCUGUAUAAAUUUCAUUGUUCUGAUGAACACAAAAGAAGAUAUUCUGAACAAUGUUAGUAACUUGAGAGGGAGUAAAUGAUGACAGAAUUUUCAUUUUUGGGUGGACUAUCCCUUUAAGCAGGCUUGUUUUGAAUUACAGCACAUUGAAAUGUUACAGAGUAUUGGCAAGAUUUUGUGUUGUUGACUGGAAUAUUACAUAAACCAUUAAAAUGACAUAAAGUUACUGUCAUCAUAACAGCAUAUUUUAAUCAGGUUGUUAAAUACAAUAGAAAUUAAGUAUUGCGUGAAUAAUAUUGUUAGCUCCUUUAGGAUAAUUAUCAUGUGUUUAUCAUAUGUUAAUGUAUCCUGCUGUACAAGACAAUGCUACAAUAUUGUAGUAAUAUUUUAUUUUAUUAUAUUUGAAAAUCAGAGGUAAUUAUAUAGUUUUUUUUUUUAAAUGUGAAUGUUUUAUAAAAUAAUAAUAAUAAUAUCUUCGUAAAUAUGUAUGAAAAUCAGGAAUAAUUAUUUUAGUGAUUUUUCAAAAUAAUUAUAAUAUAUAACAAUUAUACUAAAAUAAUAAUUAUUAAUACAAUACAACAAAAAUUUAAAUAUAGUAUAGCUAAAAAAAGCAUGCAUAAAUAUGGAUACAAGAUGACUACAAAACACUAAAAUUUUUACAAUGUUUUUAAAGUGUUUGUAAUGAUCUUGUUCCUUUUAUCUGCUUUCAGCAUUGUAUAGAGCCAUGAGUAAUAUCUCUAAAUAUAUUUGCCACACUGUGAGAUUUGUAAACUCUUAUAAUCCUAAUUGUUAUGCAAGUUAUGCAAGUUUUUGCUAAAUAUAAAAUAUAACAUGACAUAACAUGAUUAAGAAAAGCUGUAAUCUGUUACACUAUUUAGUUUUCUGUGAGGAAACCUCUGCAGCUGAUCUCCUGACCGACUUCUCCAGCCCAGGCCUUGCGAUGCAGUUAAUGGAAACCAGACCCUUCUCGUCCAUCUUCCACCACCGACACUUUGUAACACUCUCUGGAGGUGUGUGUGUGUGUAUGCACACACGUUCACACCCAUAUGUUCCAGCAGGGGAGCUGUGGUCAGGAGGGUCGACCUAUUUUCUGACUUUCUGCAGAGUCUGCAGGCUGCCGGCUUCUUUAGAGAAAGGGUAGACGGGGCCCUCGGCCAUAUGGGCAGCCCCAGCGUGACAGUGAGCUAUGAAGGUACUCACUGCACCACAUCUGCACAUGAAUCAGGGGUUACCCUGAAUCUGAAUGCAGCAGAAGUCAGUAGUGUUUGCUAAAGAAAGCCUCAAUAUAUUGAUCAUACUUUAGGGAUUUGUUCUAAACCACUAACUUUUAAAUGCUCUGCAUAACGGGUCCUGUACCAUUUAUGCUAUGGACUAUGACUUCUUACAGAGAUGUGUACUAUCAUUUCUCAGAGUUAUUGAACUAAUGAUUUCCACCUGCCAAACAAUAAAAUGGACACUAAAGGAGGGACCUGAAUCAUAUGUAGAGAACAUCAUGAUUUCAAAACACUACUCAAAAAACAACAAUCAUUUUUUCUUAGUUUCACUUUCAAUUUAUUUAUAUUUUUUUGAGUGAUACUUUUUCAGAUUCUCGUGUGUUGUAUUCUAUUAGUUGUUGCUUUUCAUAUAAUGUUUCUUGUGCUCUGUAUUUACACUACCAUUCAAAGGUUUGGGGCCGGUAAUACUUAUUUAAAUGUAUUGAAAGUCUCUUGUGCUCACCAAGGCUGCAUUUUUUAAAUCAAAAAUACAGUAAAACAGUUUGUAACAUUCAACCUGAGUUUGAGUUUUGUUUUCAUGGAUUUUAGGCCCUGUCCACACGAACAUGGGUAUUUUCAAAACUACAGACUUUUCUAUGUGGUUUGGCCAUUUGUCCACAUGCAAACGCAGUAUCAGGUCACUGAAACCAAACCUUUUUGAAAACUCCUGCCAGGGUAAAGAUUUUCAGAAACUCCAGUUGCAGUGUUGUCAUGUAGUCGGUCCUUUGUUUACAUGAGGCGAGUCUGUGCAAUGGCGGACGUAGCCAAAAUAUUGUUGCUAAUAAGCUUUUUUUCAGGCUUCUGAUUGGCCAACAUGGCU